Molecule: ribosomal RNA, 601 nt
Filed under: uncultured Acidobacteriota bacterium
Lineage: Bacteria; Pseudomonadati; Acidobacteriota
Description: bacterial SSU rRNA
Rfam family: Bacterial small subunit ribosomal RNA
Source: RNAcentral
GAGAAAGUGGAGCAAUCCAUGAGUACAGUGGCGCACGGGUGAGUAACACGUGAAUAAUCUACCUCCGAGUGGGGAAUAACUUAGGGAAACCUGAGCUAAUACCGCAUAACACUUACGAGUCAAAGCAGCAAUGCGCUUGGAGAGGAGUUCGCGGCAGAUUAGUUAGUUGGCGGGGUAAUGGCCCACCAAGGCGAUGAUCUGUAUCCGGCCUGAGAGGGCGCACGGACACACUGGAACUGAAACACGGUCCAGACUCCUACGGGAGGCAGCAGUGGGGAAUUUUGCGCAAUGGGGGAAACCCUGACGCAGCAACGCCGCGUGGAGGAUGAAAUCCCUUGGGAUGUAAACUCCUUUCGAUCGGGACGAUUAUGACGGUACCGGAAGAAGAAGCCCCGGCUAACUUCGUGCCAGCAGCCGCGGUAAUACGAGGGGGGCGAGCGUUGUUCGGAAUUAUUGGGCGUAAAGGGUGCGUAGGCGGUUUGAUAAGUCUGAUGUGAAAUCUAUGGGCUCAACCCAUAGUCUGCAUUAGAAACUGUCGGGCUUGAGUAUGGGAGAGGUGAGUGGAAUUUCCGGUGUAGCGGUGAAAUGCGUAGAUAUCGGA